GAGAGGAGCUUGCUCCUCGAUUCAGCGGCGGACGGGUGAGUAAUGCCUAGGAAUCUGCCUAGUAGUGGGGGACAACGUUUCGAAAGGAACGCUAAUACCGCAUACGUCCUACGGGAGAAAGUGGGGGAUCUUCGGACCUCACGCUAUUAGAUGAGCCUAGGUCGGAUUAGCUAGUUGGUAGGGUAAAGGCCUACCAAGGCGACGAUCCGUAACUGGUCUGAGAGGAUGAUCAGUCACACUGGAACUGAGACACGGUCCAGACUCCUACGGGAGGCAGCAGUGGGGAAUAUUGGACAAUGGGCGAAAGCCUGAUCCAGCCAUGCCGCGUGUGUGAAGAAGGCCCUCGGGUCGUAAAGCACUUUAAGUUGGGAGGAAGGGCUUACAGCGAAUACCUGUGAGUUUUGACGUUACCGACAGAAUAAGCACCGGCUAACUUCGUGCCAGCAGCCGCGGUAAUACGAAGGGUGCAAGCGUUAAUCGGAAUUACUGGGCGUAAAGCGCGCGUAGGUGGCUUGAUAAGUUGGAUGUGAAAUCCCCGGGCUCAACCUGGGAACUGCAUCCAAAACUGUCUGGCUAGAGUGCGGUAGAGGGUAGUGGAAUUUCCAGUGUAGCGGUGAAAUGCGUAGAUAUUGGAAGGAACACCAGUGGCGAAGGCGACUACCUGGACUGACACUGACACUGAGGUGCGAAAGCGUGGGGAGCAAACAGGAUUAGAUACCCUGGUAGUCCACGCCGUAAACGAUGUCAACUAGCCGUUGGGAUCCUUGAGAUCUUAGUGGCGCAGCUAACGCAUUAAGUUGACCGCCUGGGGAGUACGGCCGCAAGGUUAAAACUCAAAUGAAUUGACGGGGGCCCGCACAAGCGGUGGAGCAUGUGGUUUAAUUC
RNAcentral lists this ribosomal RNA (885 nucleotides) under uncultured Pseudomonas sp. Its description in RNAcentral is "bacterial SSU rRNA". It matches the Rfam family "Bacterial small subunit ribosomal RNA", at positions 71 to 952 of the family's 1533-position model. The record is from RNAcentral. Lineage: Bacteria; Pseudomonadati; Pseudomonadota; Gammaproteobacteria; Pseudomonadales; Pseudomonadaceae.